CAGGCAUAGUAAUGGGAUUCAAUCAAUGAGAAUGCUUGGGUGAGACAAAGGAAUCUUUAAAAGUUGAGCAAGAAUGAUUUUCUAUUUCUUCUGGAUCAGUGACCUCCAGCAGGACUUAAAGUAGUGUUAGGACAUGCUUCACAGUGUUGCAAAAGAGCAGGCUGUCUUGUCAGCAGGCACAGAGUAAACAAGGAAUCAGUGGACUACAAAAUCAAUAAUGCAAUUUAGAUUUUAUAACCAUUGUUCAUAACCACACACUGCUAUCCCUAAAACUAUGUCAGGAAUCAGGUAUUCAUUGACUAGAAGACCAGAAUCUGUAAUUGUAUCUAAUAUGUUUUUAUGACCACAAGGAACCUGAUUCUAUUAUCUUUUAACUUUAAGGUUAAUCUUUCACUGCAUUUGCAGAUAAUGUUAUUUCAUGCUAGUAUUCACUUUUACUGCAGGAUAUAGCAGCAAGGCCUCUUUAAAAUACUGUCUUCUAUGUCAUGAUCCAGAAUGAAUAAUUACUUUCAAUAUUGGGGAAGGCAGACUCAGAUACCUGUAAUGAAAAUCAUCAUGCAGUAAAUGCUAAUUCUGGUGCAAAUCAAUACUGGGAAGAUGCUUCAUGCCCUUGAACAUCAGACUCCAAGUUCUUCAGUUUUGGAACUCAGACUGGUUCUUGCUCCUCAGCGUGUAGACAACCUAUUGUGGGACCUUGUGAUCAUGCCUCAUAGGAUGUGCUUCCCUGUGAAGCGGAUGUUCUGA
This 744-nucleotide long non-coding RNA is filed under the name Callithrix jacchus (white-tufted-ear marmoset). Its description in RNAcentral is "lncRNA (ENSCJAG00000077327.1)". Lineage: Eukaryota; Metazoa; Chordata; Mammalia; Primates; Cebidae. The record is from RNAcentral.